GUGGGGAAUCUUCCGCAAUGGACGAAAGUCUGACGGAGCAACGCCGCGUGAGUGAUGAAGGUCUUCGGAUUGUAAAGCUCUGUUAAUCGGGACGAAAGAGCCUAGUGUGAAUAAUGCUAGGAAGUGACGGUACCGGAAUAGAAAGCCACGGCUAACUACGUGCCAGCAGCCGCGGUAAUACGUAGGUGGCAAGCGUUGUCCGGAAUUAUUGGGCGUAAAGCGCGCGCAGGCGGAUCUGCCAGUCUGUCUUAAAAGUUCGGGGCUUAACCCAGUGAUGGGAUGGAAACUACAGAUCUAGAGUAUCGGAGAGGAAAGUGGAAUUCCUAGUGUAGCGGUGAAAUGCGUAGAUAUUAGGAAGAACACCAGUGGCGAAGGCGACUUUCUGGACGAAAACUGACGCUGAGGCGCGAAAGCCAGGGGAGCGAACGGGAUUAGAAACCCCGGUAGUCC
RNAcentral lists this ribosomal RNA (450 nucleotides) under uncultured bacterium. RNAcentral's name for it is "partial 16S ribosomal RNA". It matches the Rfam family "Bacterial small subunit ribosomal RNA", at positions 354 to 796 of the family's 1533-position model. The record is from RNAcentral.